RNAcentral lists this ribosomal RNA (2899 nucleotides) under Klebsiella pneumoniae. Its description in RNAcentral is "bacterial LSU rRNA". It matches the Rfam family "Bacterial large subunit ribosomal RNA". Lineage: Bacteria; Pseudomonadati; Pseudomonadota; Gammaproteobacteria; Enterobacterales; Enterobacteriaceae. The record is from RNAcentral.
UUAAGCGACUAAGCGUACACGGUGGAUGCCCUGGCAGUCAGAGGCGAUGAAGGACGUGCUAAUCUGCGAAAAGCGUCGGUAAGGUGAUAUGAACCGUUAUAACCGGCGAUGUCCGAAUGGGGAAACCCAGUGCAAUUCGUUGCACUAUCGUUAACUGAAUACAUAGGUUAACGAGGCGAACCGGGGGAACUGAAACAUCUAAGUACCCCGAGGAAAAGAAAUCAACCGAGAUUCCCCCAGUAGCGGCGAGCGAACGGGGAGCAGCCCAGAGUCUGAAUCAGCUUGUGUGUUAGUGGAACGGUCUGGAAAGUCCGACGGUACAGGGUGAUAGUCCCGUACACCAAAAUGCACAGGCUGUGAACUCGAAGAGUAGGGCGGGACACGUGGUAUCCUGUCUGAAUAUGGGGGGACCAUCCUCCAAGGCUAAAUACUCCUGACUGACCGAUAGUGAACCAGUACCGUGAGGGAAAGGCGAAAAGAACCCCGGCGAGGGGAGUGAAAAAGAACCUGAAACCGUGUACGUACAAGCAGUGGGAGCACCUUCGGGUGUGACUGCGUACCUUUUGUAUAAUGGGUCAGCGACUUAUAUUCUGUAGCAAGGUUAACCGUAUAGGGGAGCCGCAGGGAAACCGAGUCUUAACUGGGCGUUAAGUUGCAGGGUAUAGACCCGAAACCCGGUGAUCUAGCCAUGGGCAGGUUGAAGGUUGGGUAACACUAACUGGAGGACCGAACCGACUAAUGUUGAAAAAUUAGCGGAUGACUUGUGGCUGGGGGUGAAAGGCCAAUCAAACCGGGAGAUAGCUGGUUCUCCCCGAAAGCUAUUUAGGUAGCGCCUCGUGAAUUCAUCUUCGGGGGUAGAGCACUGUUUCGGCUAGGGGGUCAUCCCGACUUACCAACCCGAUGCAAACUACGAAUACCGAAGAAUGUUAUCACGGGAGACACACGGCGGGUGCUAACGUCCGUCGUGAAGAGGGAAACAACCCAGACCGCCAGCUAAGGUCCCAAAGUCAUGGUUAAGUGGGAAACGAUGUGGGAAGGCACAGACAGCCAGGAUGUUGGCUUAGAAGCAGCCAUCAUUUAAAGAAAGCGUAAUAGCUCACUGGUCGAGUCGGCCUGCGCGGAAGAUGUAACGGGGCUAAACCAUGCACCGAAGCUGCGGCAGCGACACUAUGUGUUGUUGGGUAGGGGAGCGUUCUGUAAGCCUGCGAAGGUGUGCUGUGAGGCAUGCUGGAGGUAUCAGAAGUGCGAAUGCUGACAUAAGUAACGAUAAAGCGGGUGAAAAGCCCGCUCGCCGGAAGACCAAGGGUUCCUGUCCAACGUUAAUCGGGGCAGGGUGAGUCGACCCCUAAGGCGAGGCCGAAAGGCGUAGUCGAUGGGAAACAGGUUAAUAUUCCUGUACUUGGUGUUACUGCGAAGGGGGGACGGAGAAGGCUAUGUUAGCCGGGCGACGGUUGUCCCGGUUUAAGCAUGUAGGCUGGUUGUCCAGGCAAAUCCGGAUAAUCAAGGCUGAGGUGUGAUGACGAGGCACUACGGUGCUGAAGUAACAAAUGCCCUGCUUCCAGGAAAAGCCUCUAAGCAUCAGGUAACAUCAAAUCGUACCCCAAACCGACACAGGUGGUCAGGUAGAGAAUACCAAGGCGCUUGAGAGAACUCGGGUGAAGGAACUAGGCAAAAUGGUGCCGUAACUUCGGGAGAAGGCACGCUGGUGUGUAGGUGAAGUCCCUGCGGAUGGAGCUGAGACCAGUCGAAGAUACCAGCUGGCUGCAACUGUUUAUUAAAAACACAGCACUGUGCAAACACGAAAGUGGACGUAUACGGUGUGACGCCUGCCCGGUGCCGGAAGGUUAAUUGAUGGGGUUAUCCGUAAGGAGAAGCUCUUGAUCGAAGCCCCGGUAAACGGCGGCCGUAACUAUAACGGUCCUAAGGUAGCGAAAUUCCUUGUCGGGUAAGUUCCGACCUGCACGAAUGGCGUAAUGAUGGCCAGGCUGUCUCCACCCGAGACUCAGUGAAAUUGAACUCGCUGUGAAGAUGCAGUGUACCCGCGGCAAGACGGAAAGACCCCGUGAACCUUUACUAUAGCUUGACACUGAACAUUGAGCCUUGAUGUGUAGGAUAGGUGGGAGGCUUUGAAGCGUGGACGCCAGUCUGCGUGGAGCCAACCUUGAAAUACCACCCUUUAAUGUUUGAUGUUCUAACGUUGGCCCCUUACCGGGGUUGCGGACAGUGUCUGGUGGGUAGUUUGACUGGGGCGGUCUCCUCCCAAAGCGUAACGGAGGAGCACGAAGGUUAGCUAAUCCUGGUCGGACAUCAGGAGGUUAGUGCAAUGGCAUAAGCUAGCUUGACUGCGAGCGUGACGGCGCGAGCAGGUGCGAAAGCAGGUCAUAGUGAUCCGGUGGUUCUGAAUGGAAGGGCCAUCGCUCAACGGAUAAAAGGUACUCCGGGGAUAACAGGCUGAUACCGCCCAAGAGUUCAUAUCGACGGCGGUGUUUGGCACCUCGAUGUCGGCUCAUCACAUCCUGGGGCUGAAGUAGGUCCCAAGGGUAUGGCUGUUCGCCAUUUAAAGUGGUACGCGAGCUGGGUUUAGAACGUCGUGAGACAGUUCGGUCCCUAUCUGCCGUGGGCGCUGGAGAAUUGAGGGGGGCUGCUCCUAGUACGAGAGGACCGGAGUGGACGCAUCACUGGUGUUCGGGUUGUCAUGCCAAUGGCACUGCCCGGUAGCUAAAUGCGGAAGAGAUAAGUGCUGAAAGCAUCUAAGCACGAAACUUGCCCCGAGAUGAGUUCUCCCUGAGACUUUAAGUCUCCUGAAGGAACGUUAAAGACGAUGACGUUGAUAGGCCGGGUGUGUAAGCGCAGCGAUGCGUUGAGCUAACCGGUACUAAUGAACCGUGAGGCUUAACCU